This 220-nucleotide long non-coding RNA is filed under the name Bos taurus (domestic cattle). RNAcentral describes it as "long non-coding RNA NONBTAT021508". The record is from RNAcentral. Lineage: Eukaryota; Metazoa; Chordata; Mammalia; Artiodactyla; Bovidae.
CUUUACUAGAUUUAAAACACCCUGCUUUUAUCCCACUUAAAUCACAAAUAGUUAAAUACUUAUACUAAUGAAGGCUGUGAUACCCAAAUCUCAGAACUGUUACAUAUUAUUGAGUUUUAAGAAACAAAAUGUUUAAAAUUUUUACAGCAUUAGCUACACUGUACUGAUGAGUCCCCAAAAGGAUGAAAUAGCAAUUUAUAAUGCAUUCUCUCUUUCUGUG